RNAcentral lists this ribosomal RNA (459 nucleotides) under uncultured bacterium. RNAcentral's name for it is "partial 16S ribosomal RNA". It matches the Rfam family "Bacterial small subunit ribosomal RNA", at positions 338 to 795 of the family's 1533-position model. The record is from RNAcentral.
CCUACGGGAGGCUGCAGUGAGGAAUAUUGGUCAAUGGCCGGAAGGCUGAACCAGCCAAGCCGCGUGAGGGAGGAAGGCGCAGAGCGUCGCAGACCUCUUUUGCCGGGGGACAAAAGGCCGGACUCGUCCGGUCCUGAGGGUACCCGGAGAAAAAGCAUCGGCUAACUCCGUGCCAGCAGCCGCGGUAAUACGGAGGAUGCGGGCGUUAUCCGGAUUCAUUGGGUUUAAAGGGUGCGCAGGCGGGCCUUUAAGCCGGCGGUGAAAUCGCGGGGCUCAACCCCAUCCAGCCGUUGAAACUGGGGAUCUAGAGUGUGCGAGAGGUAUGCGGAAUGCGUGGUGUAGCGGUGAAAUGCAUAGAUAUCACGCAGAACCCCGAUUGCGAAGGCAGCAUACCGGUGCACAACUGACGCUCAGGCACGAAAGCGUGGGUAUCGAACAGGAUUAGAUACCCUAGUAGUC